UGGCUCAGAUUGAACGCUGGCGGCAGGCCUAACACAUGCAAGUCGAGCGGUAGAGAGAAGCUUGCUUCUCUUGAGAGCGGCGGACGGGUGAGUAAUACCUAGGAAUCUGCCUGAUAGUGGGGGAUAACGUUCGGAAACGGACGCUAAUACCGCAUACGUCCUACGGGAGAAAGCAGGGGACCUUCGGGCCUUGCGCUAUCAGAUGAGCCUAGGUCGGAUUAGCUAGUUGGUGAGGUAAUGGCUCACCAAGGCUACGAUCCGUAACUGGUCUGAGAGGAUGAUCAGUCACACUGGAACUGAGACACGGUCCAGACUCCUACGGGAGGCAGCAGUGGGGAAUAUUGGACAAUGGGCGAAAGCCUGAUCCAGCCAUGCCGCGUGUGUGAAGAAGGUCUUCGGAUUGUAAAGCACU
RNAcentral lists this ribosomal RNA (412 nucleotides) under Pseudomonas sp. DB2-21. RNAcentral describes it as "bacterial SSU rRNA". It matches the Rfam family "Bacterial small subunit ribosomal RNA", at positions 20 to 434 of the family's 1533-position model. Lineage: Bacteria; Pseudomonadati; Pseudomonadota; Gammaproteobacteria; Pseudomonadales; Pseudomonadaceae. The record is from RNAcentral.